CUGACUGCUCUGAGCUCCAGUUCUGGGUGAGUCUCUGGGGACCUAGACUCAUAUGGGGAGAAACUGGACUGUCUGGCAGCAGGCAGA
This is a non-coding RNA of Myotis lucifugus (little brown bat), 87 nucleotides long. The record is from Rfam. Lineage: Eukaryota; Metazoa; Chordata; Mammalia; Chiroptera; Vespertilionidae.